Molecule: long non-coding RNA, 287 nt
Organism: Amphimedon queenslandica
Lineage: Eukaryota; Metazoa; Porifera; Demospongiae; Haplosclerida; Niphatidae
Exons: 3
Source: RefSeq, a predicted model, not a curated record
UAUUAGGAUGUGUUGAAGUUAGUGACUGCUUGAAUAGAGAUGAAUACACUGAUAAGUAUCCAAACGGUGAGAGUGAGUCUCAGUUUGUGUUUAUAUGUCACUCGCCUCAAGAGCUGUUGAUUAAACAACCGAUCAAAGGAAAGCAUAAAUUAUGGAGACUACCAAGAGAUGUACAUAAUGCAGCUAAAAGAACACUUAAUUACAGUUCAUAAUUGUUUGUAUUAUCAAUUUUAGAUCUGUUCAUUUAUCAUGAUGCAUGCUUUGCCUUAAAAUCUUGGUUGAUUUCC